Molecule: long non-coding RNA, 514 nt
Filed under: Penaeus japonicus
Lineage: Eukaryota; Metazoa; Arthropoda; Malacostraca; Decapoda; Penaeidae
Description: uncharacterized LOC122248923
Source: RNAcentral
GGAACUUUGUUCAUGUGCAAUGGUGUAGCGUGGCUCUACUAAUGGAAUGGUGAAUAACAGGACCUGAAAAGCUAUAUUGGAAUGUAUGAAUAAGGUGUUGAUACACUAGAAGCUGGUGUUUGCAGCGUGUGGCGGUGCCCAAACGUUGCCUGAGGUUGCAGUUCUUGACCUUUGUAAGAAAAUGGGAUGGGGUCAUCGGUGAUUUCAACACAGCCAUAUUGUUGAUUUUUAGCGUAAGUGAAUUGAGGAAAUACCAAUCUCAACAUCCUCGAGUGAAUUUUCGCUUCGCGUUAGCAUGCAGUGCAAAUACGAGAGAUAAAACGAAGUUGGAAGUCCAUUUGGAGAUUGUUUUGUGGAGUGACAGUAUCAUAUCUGUCUCGUCUCUCGGUCAAGACCCUCCUCGUGACGUCACAAGGGUAGAUGAGUAAUCCUCCCACAACGUCCCAAGCAGAUGUUGCAUAUACCACAGCGGAAAUAUCAGAUGUUGCAUUUACCACGAAGAAACAGAAGACGG